UGGGGAAUAUUGGACAAUGGGCGAAAGCCUGAUCCAGCCAUGCCGCGUGUGUGAAGAAGGCCUUUUGGUUGUAAAGCACUUUAAGUGGGGAGGAAAAGCUUGUGGUUAAUACCCAUAAGCCUUGACGUUACCCACAGAAUAAGCACCGGCUAACUCUGUGCCAGCAGCCGCGGUAAUACAGAGGGUGCAAGCGUUAAUCGGAAUUACUGGGCGUAAAGCGCGCGUAGGUGGUUAUUUAAGUCAGAUGUGAAAGCCCCGGGCUUAACCUGGGAACUGCAUCUGAUACUGGAUAACUAGAGUAGGUGAGAGGGGAGUAGAAUUCCAGGUGUAGCGGUGAAAUGCGUAGAGAUCUGGAGGAAUACCGAUGGCGAAGGCAGCUCCCUGGCAUCAUACUGACACUGAGGUGCGAAAGCGUGGGUAGCAAACAGGAUUAGAUACCCUGGUAGUCCACGCCGUAAACGAUGUCUACCAGUCGUUGGGUCUUUUAAAGACUUAGUGACGCAGUUAACGCAAUAAGUAGACCGCCUGGGGAGUACGGCCGCAAGGUUA
RNAcentral lists this ribosomal RNA (549 nucleotides) under uncultured bacterium. RNAcentral's name for it is "bacterial SSU rRNA". It matches the Rfam family "Bacterial small subunit ribosomal RNA", at positions 355 to 896 of the family's 1533-position model. The record is from RNAcentral.